RNAcentral lists this long non-coding RNA (3140 nucleotides) under Homo sapiens (human). RNAcentral describes it as "HSALNT0343715". Lineage: Eukaryota; Metazoa; Chordata; Mammalia; Primates; Hominidae. The record is from RNAcentral.
ACUGGACUCAGCAGCAGCCACCUAGCCUAUUAUUGAUUUCUAGAUGAAAAGAUCUUUUAUCUGAGCUAUGGAGAGUGGAAGAGGACAGGGCCGGGAGAGUAGAUGAGGAAGUCUUUUUCAUCUUUCUUCAGUUUUUCUCUGGGAGACUCUGGGAACAGAGCUGAAGUGGUGCGAAAGCACCUUCACACUUCCUUUGCUGAGGUGAUCCGCUAAUUGCAUGCUAUCAGGAAAUGUGUAAGAUGGGAGUGAGAUGGUUUCCCAGGGGGCCCUUCUUCCUGUGCUCCAUCAAGAAAUACAUUUUCACUUGCUGGUGUCUGAGCAGUGCCUGUGUGGCUGCUAGAGAAUCCUUCUGGCUUUUCUAAGUGAAUGCACCUCUCUAAGCUGCAAGCUUUCUGGAUGGCCCCACCCUGGUCUCAUCCCUGAGAAAUCUUGUCAUUUUUUCCCACUGGUAUAGUUUUCUUCUGCAUGAGUGAUGCACAUACACUGCCCGGCCCAUUAGUUGUAGGCGUUUGUGGCUCAGUUUGCUCCAUUUAUUUCUUAUUUUGUUCUCAGGCAUCUUUAGGGCUGUGAGCUACAGCUUUUCUCCUUGAGCAUGGAUUUGUAGAAUCAUAGGAGCUUAGACUUGAGAUACACCUUAGAUAUCAUUGUAUUGAACUGCUAAUCACCUUAUUUUACAGAAGGAGAAACUGAGGCCUGGUGGGGUUAAAGUCAUCUUAACAUUUAGAGGUAGAAUGGGGACGAGAACUUGGUCACUUAACUUUUGAACUGGUCCUUACUUUGGUUUCUCUUGCUGCUAUACCUCUUGCUCCUUCAAGGACCUUGCCCCAGCAAGAGCCAACUUUAGACUUGGACACAAGGGCCCUUGAUUUGGACUCAGUGUUUUAGAGGGCCCUGUGCUGGCUCUCCUUCAGCCAUGUCCCCCUCCAUGGGAUGUGUAGUUGGCAGGACCAAGGGGAUGCAUCCAUCUGGAGCUCUCACCCUAGCCCUCUAGAACUUACUCCAGUACCUAGGAUCCUGGAAUUCCCUGUCCAAAGGUCUUAGCUCAUUUCCAGGGCCUAUGUGGACUUCUACCCCAAAUCUGUUCUCCGAAGGGCAAACCUGGUGACCAGUGGGCACCCCUGAAGCCAAUGGGGUAGACAGAGACAGCUCUUUGUGAGGGCUGCAUAUGGAGUUUGAACCAGGCCUGGUGUGUGCACGACAUCCUUCACAAUAUGUCAGGUCUGGAUUCAAUUUAGCCUUAUUUAUAGAAGAUAUGAGAUUCCUGGGUCAAAGACAAAGGAUUCUAUUGCUCAGUAGACAGAGUGAGCAGCAGCAUAUAUGUAUCAGUUCUCCUUGCCCCCAGGUGCCAGGACAGAUCCGGGUGGAUGCUGUGCUCUCAGUGGGGAUUGUGUCACAGCUAAGGAAGCCUGAGCUUGGAGAAUCCACUGCUUUUAUAGCAAGCAAUCAGUAAACCUGCUUCUUGCCCAGGGAGAGACAUUACCUCAUCUGUCCAGGUUACCAGCUUCAUAACAACCUUGAGAGGUGGCCCAUCAUAAAAGAGCAGUGAGAGCCUUUCCAUCUUGGCAUCCACAGCAGAAUGUGUAGGAACACAAGAAGACCCAAGAGACUGUCUCUCUCCAACGGUGUGGAGCAGGCUGAGGCCUGGAGUAAUUCUGCUUAUACUACCACAUUUUGGCAAGCAGCCCUGGGAAGUCCAAGAAUUCUGUUCAAACCUGGCCAUAGAGGGAGCCGGAAGGAGCAGGUGUUGGGCUGCUUGACUUGUAGAAACCUUAAGAUGUGUGGCAUGUGGACUUCAUUUGUACACUUUCCUCAGACCUCACAGAAUUAAGGGACAUGCUUGCCUGACAUUUAUCUCUAUUGUUAUCAGAAAUAAAAUUCCUUAAUCUUUUUCUUUGAUCUUCCUCUUAGCUAUAGUCUUUCUAACUCUACUUUUCUUGUUCUUGACAAUCUCUAUAUGAUUCCUAUUAAAGGUCUUUCCAGCCAAGUCUACUGGGUUUUGACUGGAUUCUGGCUCUCCUGGUCUGUUUGUUUAGCCCACACAGCUGUGUCUGUUUGCACUAAUUUUGUGUAUUUGUUCCCUACACACUAUUAUGGUUUUCUGUGUGUGGGUUCAUCUCUUCUCUCUUAGACUGACAAUAACUGGCUGAACCCACCCCCAGCUGCACACAAAGAAGCUAUUUGAGGACUGAUAAAUGACCCAAGUUACUCUACUGUACACUUUUACCUUGGUUUUAAUUCACUUUUCAUUUCUGCAUUAUCUCUAACUUCUGGUUGUGUGAAGAGUGUGAACUUUCUUUCCACAUGGAAAUAUUUCAAACUUCAAAGGAUUAUUGGGUACUAAACUAAGUUCCCCAGAGGGAUUUAAAAGGCAUUUUAGUGUAAUUUAGUGUAAAGUUCAAAAUUCCACAGCCUCAGUUUUUGUUCCUUGGCCAGUGUUUGUUCCUGGGCCAGUAGGUAAUAUAGCAUUUCAGAAAUGCCCUCUGGUUCCUACAAAAUAAAGAAGCCUCUUGUAAUGUAGCAAUUAACACAGGAAGAAAAAGGAGAAAAUUUAUACGCUUUUUUUUUUCAUUUAGGCCAGAGCCCCAUGAACAACCUUCAAAACUUAAGUAAAAGGCCAUAAACAUAUAGGUAUUUACUCAAGGUUUAGGAGUUUGAGCUGAUAUGGUUGUCUUUUGUGUAUGACACACUUUAGUAUUUAAAUGUCUUUGAGAUUGUUCAUGAUUUUCCUUAAAUAUCCUUAUGAAAUGUGUAGAACUUAUAAUUAUUAACAUUGUAUCCCGCCACCUCCCUGCCCUCCAUCCCAGGAUUUUGAGGUAGAGGUUUCAGCUGUUGGACACCCCCUUCUCACCUCAGAACCUCCCAGGCACUAACUCUAGAUGUGACUCGGGUGGGGUGGGAAGGGAUUCAGGGGGGAUUUUGCCUCAGAAGGACAUGGAUGCUCAUCUCUUCCAUCAUGAGGUCACCUGAUCAUCACCUGAGUUUUGUUUUUUUGAGAUGGAGUCUUGCUCUGUCACCCAGGCUGGAGUGCAGUGGCGUGAUCUCGGCCCACUGCAACCUCUGCCUUCCGGGUUCAAGCGAUUCUUGUUCCUCAGACUCCUAGCUACUCAGGAGGCUGACACAGGAGAAUUGCUUGAACCUGG